AUGAUGAGUCGCUCUCUCCGUUCCAAGACUCUUCCUUUGCUCUUCCCCCGCAACCCCAAAGCCCUUUUCUCCACACACAUUGUUGGUGAAAAACCAGUUCUUGUUCGUGAUUUCAUUCAUUCUGCAUUAUAUGACCCCAGACAUGGUUAUUUCGCUCAAAGAUCGAGGUCGGUUGGUGUGCUUCAGAAAGCCAUCAAGUUCAAUCAGAUUUAGGGCAGGAAAGCUUAUAUGAAAUACUUGGAUAAAAUAUACAAGGGAAGUGAGAUAUCGUGGUUUACUCCUGUGGAAAUUUUUAAGCCUUGGUAUGCCCACGGGAUAGCUGAAGCCAUAAUGCGUACUGCUAACCUUUCAGUUCCUCUUAAGAUAUAUGAAAUUGGUGGUGGAUCAGGAACUUGUGCAAAGGGAAUCAUGGAUUACAUAUUGUUGAAUGCACCUACAAGAGUUUACAACAAUAUGACUUACACCUCAGUUGAAAUCAGUCCCUUACUGGCUGAGCUACAAAGAGAAACUGUUGGAGAAGUUCGUAGUCACUUAUCAAAGUUUCGAGUCGAAUGCCGUGAUGCUGCUGACAGGAAGGGAUGGGGGGACGUGCAGCAAGAGCCAUGCUGGGUAAUAAUGCUUGAGGUACUUGAUAAUCUUCCACAUGAUCUCAUCUAUUCUGAAAAUCAAGUUUCACCAUGGAAGGAAGUUUGGGUGGCGAACCAAGAUGGGGAAACACUAACUGAAUUGUACAAGCCAUUGCAAGACUCACUAAUUAAGAAAUGCAUUAAGAUCAUCGACUUUGAGAAAAAACAGGAUUCUCAAAGCAGUGCAUUAUUAAAAAGUGUUUGGUCUAAAGUCUACCCAAAACCUAGAAGAAGUUGGCUACCAACUGGUUGCUUGAAACUACUUGAAGUGUUACAUGGAGCACUACCAAAGAUGUCUUUGAUUGCUUCAGACUUUAGUUACCUUCCUGACGUGAAAAUACUUGGUGAAAGAGCUCCAUUGGUUUCAACCAAGAAAGAUGGCAGCAGCACAGACUAUGGUAGUUAUCUUGAUGCAAAGGUUGCAAGUGAAUCGAGGUUCACGGCUGAAGAUAUUGCAAGUUCGGUUCAACAGAUAUUCAGCUUUAUCCAUGCAAACACCGCCAGCGUCAUGUGA
This is an RNA transcript of Fragaria vesca subsp. vesca, 1140 nucleotides long. RefSeq lists it as uncharacterized. NCBI's taxonomy places the organism in Eukaryota, Viridiplantae, Streptophyta, Magnoliopsida, Rosales, Rosaceae. The record is from RefSeq and is a predicted model, not a curated record. The transcript has 13 exons.